RNAcentral lists this ribosomal RNA (253 nucleotides) under uncultured bacterium. Its description in RNAcentral is "partial 16S ribosomal RNA". It matches the Rfam family "Bacterial small subunit ribosomal RNA", at positions 524 to 776 of the family's 1533-position model. The record is from RNAcentral.
UACGUAGGGUGCAAGCGUUGUCCGGAAUUAUUGGGCGUAAAGAGCUUGUAGGCGGUUUGUCGCGUCUGCUGUGGAAUUUCGGGGCUCAACCCCGAACUUGCAGUGGGUACGGGCAGACUAGAGUGUGGUAGGGGAGACUGGAAUUCCUGGUGUAGCGGUGAAAUGCGCAGAUAUCAGGAGGAACACCGAUGGCGAAGGCAGGUCUCUGGGCCACUACUGACGCUGAGAAGCGAAAGCAUGGGGAGCGAACAGG